Brassica napus (rape) is the source of this 944-nucleotide long non-coding RNA. RefSeq lists it as uncharacterized. The transcript is spliced from 2 exons. Lineage: Eukaryota; Viridiplantae; Streptophyta; Magnoliopsida; Brassicales; Brassicaceae. The record is from RefSeq and is a predicted model, not a curated record.
AUCCAUCUCCGGCCCCAACAACAUCUUCUCUGUCACAGCCGACAUCCGUUUCGUCACGUCUUCCUCAAGUCGCCGUCAUCCCUUUGAUUCACGAAAACCCUAGCUCCUAUUUGGGUUCAAUUUUAAAUUGACAAAAUUGAAACCCUUGGUUAUGACAUUGGGUUUGAUUAAGGUUUCGAAGCUGGCAGAGAUAAGUGAAUGUUCCCAGCUUCGUACUCUGCGGCUUCCUGACAGCUUGCUACCAGCAAGAGUAUGCAGCUUUUGAUGAUGGAAGCGUGAGUAUCUUGACGGCAACGACAUUGCAACUGAAGUGCUGCAUUGGAAAUCAUAUUUUGCUCUCUUUUCAGGUUAUGGGAGAUAUCAGGAAACACAAGAUGGUGGGAUGUAACAACUGGACAGUCAUCUGCAUUUAAUAGUCACAGAGAUGAAGUACGUAGAACUAAAUUCUCACAUGUUGUUGCUGGAGAUCGCAGCCGAGGGCGUGUAGCUGUGCUAUUUAAUGACAAUACAUUCUUUGUAUAUGAUCUUGUGAGUCCUAAGAGAAUUCGCUAUUUCCUAUAAGUUGGGAACGUCUUGUGUUUUCAAAGGUAUCUUACUAAUAUUCUGCAAUUUGAGGAAAAAAGAAGCACAAUACUGGUUUUCCAUUAAUUCUAGUGUUUUACUUUUGAAGAUGAAAGAUGAAGUACAUUGAAUGUCUGGCUGCUGUUGGAUGUACUUUUAUGUUAUCUUAACCGUUGUAGGACGUGUAAUUUGGAUCAUUUUAUUUAGUAGUUUUAUUAAUACGUUUAACUUGGAUGGAUGUAUUAUUUGGUAGGUUUUUGUUACUUUCGUGGGGAUGUCUUACUUGUAUGGUUUUACUUUUUCUCGGAUGGAUGUAUAAGGUUUGUAUGUGGUUUCUUUCACUUGUGUGAUCUCAGAUGUAUAUAAAGGCUUGUUUGGACCUA